Molecule: transfer RNA, 65 nt
Filed under: Cancer pagurus (edible crab)
Lineage: Eukaryota; Metazoa; Arthropoda; Malacostraca; Decapoda; Cancridae
Description: tRNA-Asn
Source: RNAcentral
UUGGUGGAAGCCAAAAAGAGGCUUAUUACUGUUAAUAAUAUAAUUGAAUUUUUAUUCCCACCAAG